Molecule: unclassified non-coding RNA, 1369 nt
Organism: Actinia tenebrosa (Australian red waratah sea anemone)
Lineage: Eukaryota; Metazoa; Cnidaria; Anthozoa; Actiniaria; Actiniidae
Source: RefSeq, a predicted model, not a curated record
UCAAAUGGCACAAGAAGAACACCUCAGGAAACGAUGUGUCCUGGUCGUUACUCGUGGCUUCCAGUAGUUCUAAUGUAACUGUUGGUGAUGGAUUCAAGCUCCAUGGCAACGGGUCUUUACAGCUGCACGGAGGAAGGGCCGAGGAAGUUGUCACUUACAAGUGUGACGUCACUAAGAAUGUUCCAAGUCGAUUGGACAGACACAUUAUUGUCGUGAAAAGUGUUGAAUGUCGAAGAGAAAAGCGUGAAGUUACCGCAGGUUCUCAUGUAAAAACAACCGCUGGUCGUGUUGCUAUGACGACACCCAUUACUGUCACCAUGGAGACAAUCUCUCCUUCGGUUUUCUCUGCUGUCAGUCCUGUGCAUGGUACUAAUAAUAUAUUCUUGGUGUCUGUCAUCAUAAUGGUUUGGCUGCUGAUGAAUCUUAGGGUAAAAUUAUGACCAAGUUGCUGAAGACUGAAUCAGUAUGAAGUCGGGCAAGACUCUUCCCCGUGUGGGAUGAUGUUCCUUCCUGUAACAUGGGAAAGAAAUAACCCUGGACAAUCCUUACGACUCAAGAUUACAGCAGCACCAAAACAAGGGCAAUGAACAGUCCAAUAGCUAUAUAUACCAAUGCGUCCAUCAUAUGAGAAUAACAGUAUGUAACAAAGUCUUUGCUGUUGCUAGUCGGUCAAUUUUCCUAACAUAAGGGAAUACUUCUUCAAUAAUGGCGUCCAGAAGAACAUACGCAAGCUGGGAAACAAAAGCGACCAAGAAUCCGUUGAAGUUUGUGCAAAUGAUGAGAAGUAAUGAAUAAAGAAGGUGGCUGCUCUGUGUGUGACAGAGGCUUUUGAACUCCAGUCCUUCUCGAAAAUCUACGACCGAGAGGCACUGUAGCGAGAGCACCUCUGGAAAUGACCCAGGGUACGUAACGGGUAACAUGGAAAAAAAUCGCGGGCUCAUCAACCCUUUCCUUUAAAAAAUUCCUGUCAUAUGGUUUCGCUAAGGUUUAGAUCAAAAUAAAAAUUAGAAAUCAGGAACAUUUUUUAAAAAAUUUUUGGCAAUUCUUUUAACGCAUGCGCUCUUAUAUCCGAAGUCCAAGAAAUCCUGGUCUUAAAAAAUGGAUUAUGCCAAAGCCCUUGUUCUACGCCGCAGGCCAGAAGAAACGCAGGCUCUAGGUACGAGAUUGACUCACAAUCAGCUUGGACAAUUUUGGCAAAUGCGCAUGCGUUUUUCAGCCCUGCCAGGGUACAAGGGAAGUGAAAAAUGAGGACAGAACACGCAUCGAAAGGAAAGACAAUACGAAGGAUAUCAAAAGACAAAAAUAAAAAGGAAUAAAAAGGGGGUGAGAAUAAAAGGAAAGGGAAAAGAGCGAAUUUGUUACCUGUUUG